AUCCAACUCUAGAUUAUAUGUAAAGCAGAAGACUUAGUUUAAGUUAACCUAGGAAUCUUCUCAUAAUAUGUGCUUCAGGUGGGUAGGGCAUACAGUUGGUG
Eurytemora carolleeae is the source of this 101-nucleotide long non-coding RNA. RefSeq lists it as uncharacterized. The record is from RefSeq and is a predicted model, not a curated record. Lineage: Eukaryota; Metazoa; Arthropoda; Copepoda; Calanoida; Temoridae. The transcript has 3 exons.